Camelus dromedarius (Arabian camel) is the source of this 1523-nucleotide long non-coding RNA. RefSeq lists it as uncharacterized. The record is from RefSeq and is a predicted model, not a curated record. The transcript is spliced from 4 exons. NCBI's taxonomy places the organism in Eukaryota, Metazoa, Chordata, Mammalia, Artiodactyla, Camelidae.
AGCAGUUGCUUAAUCUAAGAAAUCUGAAACACAAAGAGCCUAGAAGACAGGUUGUACCAAAAUCAUUAAGAAAGGUUGUACCAAAAUCACUAUGCUCCUGAACUCCAGCAUAAUCCAGCUCCAGCUUUUUCCCUGUCUGUCCUACUGCUGCCUCGGGAAGUGUUUGCAGUUGACAGUUUUGUCGAAGGGACCCAGAGCAGACUUCUCCCCUUUGCACCCAUCCACCUCCUCGGGAAGUCCAGAUGAAGUCGGGUCUCUGCUAUUUCUAUCAACUGGACGCUGGUGGCUCCUAGACAGAGGCAAGCCCAAGGUCAGGCCAUGACAGAGGGUCUGAAGACACUACUGGCUGUUCUGUAGGACGUUCAUCAGCAGUGGGAUGCAACGGGGCCAGAGCCCUUUAAGCUGUAGCGCUGCAGCUCUCAGUGCCACACCUCCCAGCACAGCCACCCUGGCCCUGCGGCUGCAGGACUGAGCAGGUAAGCCUGGGCAGCUCAGCAUGAGAGCCUCUGCCUGGUUCUACACAUCGUUCCUUGGCCAGCCCUGGAGUUUGAGAAGCACCCUGGAGAGUUCAAUUUAUUUUUUAAGAAAUCAAAAAGCCUAUUUUAAAAGUUAUGCAAACACAACAUUCUUCUAGAACAUACAGAUAAACAUAGAAGAAAAAACAAAUUACUGUCUACCAUACUCCCAAAUCCGUCACCAUUACCAUUUUUCUGUCUAUCCUGUUCGAGGGACUUUUUAGGCAGUCCCCAAGUCUCAGCCUCCUUCUGAUGAAACUGGAAUUUAUUAUCAUCUACUAGUUGUCACCUACAAAGGCACGGUGAUAACUGAAGUCUGUAUGGAAAAUGCUGACGAUUUACACAGAGGCUAUUUCUUUGCUGUGGAAAUGGUAAAUAACUCUUAAGUUGUAAGUUUCAAAAAAGAAGAAGAAAAAAAAAAAGAUGCCGACACCAGCCUGGCUGCAACGCAAGGAGGAAAAGUUUUGAACUCUGAGCUCCCAGGCUUUCCCCUGGGGCAGGUGUGGGGCACCCACGGGCCUGCAGAGCUCAGGUCCACUAAGGGAUGUGAGCUGGGGUGAGGGGCUGGCAGCAGUGGCCACUCACGUCACCCCCGUCACCUCAGAAGCAGUCUAGUUUCUGGAACUUCAGAUCUUGCAAGGAUGCAGUGAACUUCCUGACGCUGGCCGCUUUAUCUCUAAAGCCGACAACUUGCCCUUCCUUUCAGCUCACCUCUAACAUCCUCAAAAGCCCCCUGACCUUUCCACCUCUGUAAGUGCCACGCAGAUGUGGCACAUCUACAGCAGUCUUUCCUAUUUGUUGGGGAACCAUAAAAUCACCCUCAUGGUGCUUUCUUCUAACACACAAAUAGAAGGUUAAUAUUUUGAUAAAUGGACUUGUGUCCUUUUCUCCCCAGAUGGGCUCUGUUCCCUUUACGCUCCCCUUGCCCCGCCCCCUGUGCUGUGGAGCCAGCUGGGCUCAGAGCCUUAGGGGAGCCAUGUGGUUUGGAGGAAAAUAAAUAUAACCUGC